This 265-nucleotide ribosomal RNA is filed under the name uncultured bacterium. Its description in RNAcentral is "partial 16S ribosomal RNA". It matches the Rfam family "Bacterial small subunit ribosomal RNA", at positions 28 to 292 of the family's 1533-position model. The record is from RNAcentral.
GAUAAACGCUGGCGGCGUGCCUAACGCAUGCAAGUCGGACGGGAGCGCCUGCGGGCGUCGACCGUGGCGGACGGGUGAGGAACACGUGGCUGACCUGCCCAGGUCCGGGGAUACCCUGCGGAAACGCGGACUAAUACCCCAUGGGGCUUGCGUUGGGGGGACCGUGAGGAAGCAAAGGUAGGCGACACCGGGCGUGGAGGGGGCGUGCGGCCGAUUAGCUGGUUGGUGGGGUAACGGCCUACCAAGGCGGUGAUCGGAGCUGGUC